CCUACGGGAGGCAGCAGUGGGGAAUUUUCCGCAAUGGGCGAAAGCCUGACGGAGCAAGACCGCGUGGGGGAAGAAGGCUCUUGGGUUGUAAACCCCUUUUCUCUGGGAAGAACAAAAUGACGGUACCAGAGGAAUCAGCAUCGGCUAACUCCGUGCCAGCAGCCGCGGUAAGACGGAGGAUGCAAGCGUUAUCCGGAAUGAUUGGGCGUAAAGCGUCCGCAGGUGGCAGUUCAAGUCUGCUGUCAAAGACCGGGGCUUAACCUCGGAAAGGCAGUGGAAACUGAACAGCUAGAGUAUGGUAGGGGCAAAGGGAAUUCCUGGUGUAGCGGUGAAAUGCGUAGAGAUCAGGAAGAACAUCGGUGGCGAAGGCGCUUUGCUGGACCAUAACUGACACUCAGGGACGAAAGCUAGGGGAGCGAAUGGGAUUAGAUACCCCAGUAGUCCUAGCCGUAAACGAUGGAUACUAGGUGUUGUCUGUAUCGACCCGGACAGUGCCGUAGCUAACGCGUUAAGUAUCCGCCUGGGGUGUACGCNCGCAGUGUGAACGUACGAAGAAGUAGACGGCGUGAGACGNGCCGACGACGACGACGAGGGAGUAGG
RNAcentral lists this ribosomal RNA (600 nucleotides) under uncultured bacterium. Its description in RNAcentral is "bacterial SSU rRNA". The stretch from base 1 to 521 matches the Rfam family "Bacterial small subunit ribosomal RNA", at positions 338 to 873 of the family's 1533-position model. The record is from RNAcentral.